GACGAACGCUGGCGGCGUGCCUAACACAUGCAAGUCGAACGGAACUGUUUUGAAAGAUUUCUUCGGAAUGAAUUUGAUUUAGUUUAGUGGCGGACGGGUGAGUAACGCGUGAGUAACCUGCCUUCAAGAGGGGGAUAACAUUCUGAAAAGAAUGCUAAUACCGCAUGACAUAUCGGGAUCACAUGAUUUUGAUAUCAAAGAUUUUAUCGCUUGAAGAUGGACUCGCGUCCGAUUAGUUAGUUGGUGAGGUAACGGCUCACCAAGACCGCGAUCGGUAGCCGGACUGAGAGGUUGAACGGCCACAUUGGGACUGAGACACGGCCCAGACUCCUACGGGAGGCAGCAGUGGGGGAUAUUGCGCAAUGGGGGCAACCCUGACGCAGCAACGCCGCGUGAAGGAUGAAGGUUUUCGGAUUGUAAACUUCUUUUAUUAAGGACGAAAAAUGACGGUACUUAAUGAAUAAGCUCCGGCUAACUACGUGCCAGCAGCCGCGGUAAUACGUAGGGAGCAAGCGUUGUCCGGAUUUACUGGGUGUAAAGGGUGCGUAGGCGGCUUUGCAAGUCAGAUGUGAAAUCUAUGGGCUCAACCCAUAAACUGCAUUUGAAACUGUAGAGCUUGAGUGAAGUAGAGGCAGGCGGAAUUCCCCGUGUAGCGGUGAAAUGCGUAGAGAUGGGGAGGAACACCAGUGGCGAAGGCGGCCUGCUGGGCUUUAACUGACGCUGAGGCACGAAAGCGUGGGUAGCAAACAGGAUUAGAUACCCUGGUAGUCCACGCUGUAAACGAUGA
This 787-nucleotide ribosomal RNA is filed under the name uncultured bacterium. Its description in RNAcentral is "bacterial SSU rRNA". It matches the Rfam family "Bacterial small subunit ribosomal RNA", at positions 28 to 812 of the family's 1533-position model. The record is from RNAcentral.